UACGAAGGGGGCUAGCGUUGUUCGGAAUCACUGGGCGUAAAGGGCGCGUAGGCGGCCGAGAAAGUCGGGGGUGAAAGCCUGUGGCUCAACCACAGAAUUGCCUUCGAUACUGUUUGGCUUGAGACCGGAAGAGGUAAGUGGAACUGCGAGUGUAGAGGUGAAAUUCGUAGAUAUUCGCAAGAACACCAGUGGCGAAGGCGGCUUACUGGUCCGGUUCUGACGCUGAGGCGCGAAAGCGUGGGGAGCAAACAGG
This 253-nucleotide ribosomal RNA is filed under the name uncultured bacterium. RNAcentral describes it as "partial 16S ribosomal RNA". It matches the Rfam family "Bacterial small subunit ribosomal RNA", at positions 524 to 776 of the family's 1533-position model. The record is from RNAcentral.